CCAGCCUGGGGACAGAGCGAGACUCCGUCUCAAAAAAAAAAAAAAAAAAAGUAACACAAAAACAGCCUAAUGCAAAGGUCACAUGGUAGGUAGGAUUUAGUAAGAAAGAGAGCUGGGAUUUCAAGGCAGGUGAACUGGGUCUAAUGUUUCCACUGUUUACUCACCUCUCCCUACCUCUAGAUUUCUACCCUCCCAUGUUGAAAUCUCUUGGUUAUAAAUUUUCACUUGUGUUCCUUUCUGGGAUCACCUUCUUGAAUCACAGUGGUGUCUAUUUUCAUACCCAUUGAGGGAAUAGUGAUUCGUUGAGGGUUACAAGGUCUGCAGAUCGAUGAGUUCUUGGCAUUUUGGAGAGGCCAGAGACUGGUAGCUCUGAGUCACUGGUUGUCAGGCCGUGCCUCCCCCAUCACACAAUCGAAGCUUGGCUGACUUCACUGAGUGCCAAAAGCAGGCUGGGGCUGGGGGUAGAGGAUCUGGGUUUCACAAGAGGCAAGUCUGGAAAUGUCAAAAUUGGGGUCCAAGGUGAGAGGAUGGCAUGGUAGGACAACAUUGUCUGCCAUCCGGGUAUAAUGGCUGAAGCUCUGGUUAGUGGGUGUGGCCUAAGGGGAAUGUAGUGAUUCCCACUCUAGGUGUAAAGGGCUUCAUAUUGAUGGAGAGCUUUCUGUGUUGACCGAAAUUCUGGUGACACUACGAGACAGAUUUCAUGGAUUUAUAGAAGAGACAACUGAAACUUGGGAGUCUGUGUCCCAGAUCACAUAAUUUGUUAGCAGUAGGAGUCCAAGUUGAGCCAAGCCAGAGAAGGUUACUGAGUGUUUUGGCACCCUUGGCCUUAAUCUGCUACUCUUCAGAUUUCAUAGCCCUCAUGUUCCGGAUAGUUCACUCAAAGCUUGGGAGUUGGAGAUGAGGCAAUCAACAGAUGCUGACACCAGCAUAAAGGAGAGAUUGCGGCUGAUCUGGAGCUUGCAAGCUUUGAUCCACAAGCUGCCAUUUUGGAGAGGCCCAUGUGGCAGAGAACUGGAGGAGGUCUCAGACCAACAGACAGGCCCUCAGUCCAGCAGCCCACAAAAAAAACCUGAAUGCUGCCAAUUACGUGAGUUUGCUUGGAAGCAGAGCCUUCCCCAGGCAAGCCUUCAGAUGACCACACCCCCCAGGUGACAUCUUGAUGUUAGCCUUGUGAGAAACCCUGAAGAGGAGUCAGCUAGCUGCACCAAAGUUUCUGACCUAUAGAGACUGUGAGAUAAUAACUAUUGUUUUAAGCCACUAGGUUUUAAGUAAUUUGUUACACAGCAAUAGGUAACUAAUACAGAUGGUUUCUGCAAUAGCAGUAAUACAGUGCUGCCUAAGAUUCUGGGAGCUGCGGCUUUCCCACAUUUGUUGCCCAUAACUCUGUCGUGAAUUCUCUGGUGAUUUUUCUUUAAAGGGGGUGUCUACAGCUGAAGGCUUUCCCAUUUUCACUUCACUUGUAAUGCCUUUUCCCCACAGGUACUUUAUAUUGCUUUCUCACACAGGAGAGGUGACCAAAGACCAUCCCACAUUCCUUACAUGCGGGGGUUUUCUCUAUUGUGAAUUUUUUGGUUAUAGAUAAGGAUUGAUUUCUUCUUGAGGGUCUUUUUUCAUACCAAGUGUUUAAAGAUUUCUCUUCAGUGUGGGUUCUUAGGUGGUUGAAGAGGGCAAAAGUCUUCAUGUCUUCCCAUAGCCACUGCUCUUGAAGGGCUUCUCCCUAUCAUGGCCUGCCUGGUGUUAUCUGAUGUUGGAGCUGUGUGGCAGGAUCUUCCCACUCAACUUUUCAUGGCUUCCCUGUGCCAUGAGUGCUCUGGUGAUGGAGAAAGGAAGGCAUUUCCAUAUUCUCUUUUGAGCUUCUCACUAUUCGGGUACUCCAGUGCCAGAAGUGGGUAGUUACCCUGGAAAGCCUUCACAAAUGCCUGGUCCUUGAGUCCUCUCACUUAUGAAUCCUGCUGUGCAUGAACUGAAAAGUGCUCUUUACAAAUGAGACUGUGAGCCAUGUCACAUCUGAAAAGGUGGUCUCCACCAUAAAUGGUCUGUUGUUGGUGAAAAGUUUGAUCCA
Macaca mulatta (Rhesus monkey) is the source of this 2062-nucleotide non-coding RNA. The record is from RefSeq and is a predicted model, not a curated record. NCBI's taxonomy places the organism in Eukaryota, Metazoa, Chordata, Mammalia, Primates, Cercopithecidae.